RNAcentral lists this long non-coding RNA (556 nucleotides) under Rattus norvegicus (Norway rat). RNAcentral's name for it is "long non-coding RNA NONRATT006437". Lineage: Eukaryota; Metazoa; Chordata; Mammalia; Rodentia; Muridae. The record is from RNAcentral.
AGACCACCACCGCGCACGCGCAGUCGCGAGAGCUCCAGCCGGGUCGUCGCGGCUCUAGCUAGGUACGGCGCAACGCCGAGCGCGCAUGCGCAUACGCUCUCCUCGCGCCCAAUACCUGGGCGGAGUCUCUUUGCACUGCCCUCUAGCGACGCGGGGGACUGUUGGCACGGAACCCUCCGACUCCAGAGUUGUUCCACAGGUCACAAAGAGGAUCAUCGAGAUGAGAGGAAAGAGUGUAGUCUGUGGUCGCUGAGCGUGUUGCUGCAAUACGUCGGCUGAGCUUACACCGAGCCGUUACGUGUGGAAGCCUCCCACGCAGCGCUUGCAGGCUUUAUCUACGCACACACUCUCAAAGGCAUUGGCUCUCUUCCAUGAGAAAAAGCCGGCGUGAGGACGCACACGUUUAAUCCCAGCAGCACUGGGGGAGUUCGAGGCAAACCGACCUCUGAAUUCGGGGCCAGCAUGAGGAACAUAAGGAAUUCCAAUGACCAAGGCUAUGUAGGGAAAUCCUGUCUGGGGAAAACCAAAUAAAGACAAGAGACAUUUCCAGGAGAAC